Long non-coding RNA from Mastomys coucha (southern multimammate mouse), 874 nucleotides. RefSeq lists it as uncharacterized. Lineage: Eukaryota; Metazoa; Chordata; Mammalia; Rodentia; Muridae. The record is from RefSeq and is a predicted model, not a curated record. The transcript is spliced from 2 exons.
UGGGUGUUCAAUAUGGUCAGACAAUUAGCUCCAGGGAGCAGAAUAAUGAUUUAAUAACUUUUCACAAUUAGUUAGUGAGGCUACCCUCGAAUAAAUGGAGUAAUCAAGGCUUUAGAAAUUUGCUAGCAGGUGGUGGUGACUAAGAUGUAAGAACACACCAUGUUCUGGUAUGACUCAACUUCGACAGGACAGUCAAGUGUGAGAGGCUAAGUGUGAGAAGCAGCACAGUUUUAUGAAAAGACAUGCAGGAAGAAGGUGGGAAUUCUCCUGUCUCUUUUUCUAGUGAACAUCUGGAUUUUGCCGCUUGUCAGAGCAUGGACAUUUCUGAAACACAAGAGUCAUAACACUAACAGCACCAAAUGAAGUCAGCUGGCACGUCUGAGUGUCCAGAAUGAUAUAUUUCUUAAAGUCAGAAAUUGUUCAGCAAAUACAGAUGAAGCUUGGGAAGUAGCAAUGAUGGGGAUGCUAACAAGGGAUCCUGAACUUGGAGUAAGAGGCUCCCUUUGGUCCCAGAGAUCUGUUUACCACACAUACAUGUGACUUUUCCUCUGAAAGUAUGCACCUUGUUCCAGAUCUGAUGGUGAUCUUAUCUAUAUAAAUGAGCCCAAAUAGACCACCCAGCUCCCCCUUGGCGAUGGCACAGAACACAAUGCUAGAUAUCCAGGGGGCACUCUGGCAUGGAAGAUCUACCCAACCAUCAGCGAAACCUGUCAGUCUACUCUUGGUUAGCCCCCUGCACCUCCCCUCCAGCUUCCUGAACAAAGUUCAUCCUCACAGAUCAUCCUCUAGAUCCCAGCUUCCUAAACUUUAUAAGGGGGUCCCAUCACCCAGUAUAGGAGGUGACUAACGUUUGUGAUAAUAAAGGAUUUCAGAA